Molecule: ribosomal RNA, 604 nt
Filed under: uncultured fungus
Lineage: Eukaryota; Fungi
Description: eukaryotic LSU rRNA
Rfam family: 5.8S ribosomal RNA (bases 239-392)
Source: RNAcentral
CGUACAAGGUCUCCGUAGGUGAACCUGCGGAGGGAUCAUUACACAAAAAAUAUGAAGGCUGUAUGCGGCUGUGUCUCUUUCGGGGGGCCAGCUUUUGCGGAGGCUGAAAUAUUUUUCACCCAUGUCUUUUGCGCACUUGUUGUUUCCUGGGCGGGUUUCGCCCGCCACCAGGACCACACCAUAAACCUUUUUUAUGCAGUUGCAAUCAGCGUCAGUAUAAUAAAUGUAAAUCAUUUACAACUUUCAACAACGGAUCUCUUGGUUCUGGCAUCGAUGAAGAACGCAGCGAAAUGCGAUACGUAGUGUGAAUUGCAGAAUUCAGUGAAUCAUCGAAUCUUUGAACGCACAUUGCGCCCUUUGGUAUUCCAAAGGGCAUGCCUGUUCGAGCGUCAUUUGUACCUUCAAGCUUUGCUUGGUGUUGGGCGUCUUUUUUUGUCUUGGGCCUUUUUGUGCCCUGAGACUCGCCUUAAAACGAUUGGCAGCCGGCCUACUGGUUUCGGAGCGCAGCACAUCUCGCGCUUUGCACUCAUAACGACGACGUCCAAAAGUACAUUUUUACACCCUUGACCUCGGGAUCAGGUAGGGAUACCCGCUGAACUUAAGC